AAAGGCUCUGGCUGUCACACUUCAUAGAUGAGGCAGAGAUGGGAGGCAAGAGACCUGCUACCCUCUCCUCUGGUUGAUUCCAUUGAGUGGCCAGUCAUCUCUAGAGAACCUGAGUUCCUUUCCUUCCUGAAUUUCUACUCCUAAUGAGGAAUCUACUUGCUUCUGAAGCUGGAGCAAAGGUUUAACUUCUGAUAGUUAUCUAGAAAGUUCUCUGAGCACUUCAGGGGAAAUUGCUAGGCUGAGUCAAAAAGAAAAGCCAAGUGGAUUUGAAUGCCAGCUCUCCUCCUUCCUGGGGUUAGGCCUUGAACAAGCCAUUUAACCUCUGUCCCUCAGAGCUUCUAGCAAUAAAUGAGAUAAAACUGUAUCUCCUUCAGGACAUCGUUAGGAUUAAUUAACUGAAAGUAUCAAUAAGGGUUCACUACUGCUGCAAUGCCUCAUUCCACUUCACUGUUUAGCUUACACCAAACUCCCUGGUGGAAUCUGGCUACACUAGCCCAGACCUCUCCCUCUGAAAUUCUAUAGUAGUCAGUAUUUUUCAGUCUUUAAUUUUACAUGUACUUAUUUUACAGUAGAUCUCAGUUGAGCAUUCUCUCAUACUUUGAAAAAAUAAUUCACUAAGAAAGACUUAAACGACUGACCAUGUCCAUAUUAGAGAGAAAAAUGUGUUCACAAGCCAAGGAAGGAUUGCUAACAAAUGAAUUAGCAGAAAUGCUAAGGAAAGCAUGCAAAUUCAGUCUAUGGAUAGAUGGAUCCUACCAGUUCUCCAACACAGCCAGAUGAACGUCUUAAGAACCUUGCUUAGUCUACCCCUGCGCUUGCUGGGUUGAGUGUGCAUAGUCUCUUCUGUGCUGUGUUUUCCUCCACGUAAGGACACUGAAAUAAAGAAGCUAAUUACUAAGCCCAAAGCUUACCUGUGGUCUCCUCCCAUGGUGACACAGCUGUAGCCACCUGACACAGCUCUACUAACCACUUCAGCCAGUUCCUGGUUGGCAAGGCCCACUGAACGAGGAUACACAACCAGAUUAUUGUAGGGAUCAUCUUGUGGGACAUUAGUAAAACUCAAGUCUCCAAAGUCUUUUAGGUGGCAUCCUGCAACAGAUGGAGAACAACAGAAUGAACCAUUUGUGCCAUUCCAACGUCUACUGGCCUGGGCUACAAGUAAUUACCUGGGACAAAGUGGUGACACGUCAUACUCAUUUUGUCCGACCACAGUUCCACAUGUCACCUGCUAGCAAGACUCCAAAUAAUGAGGCAACUGAAAUAAUGUUUACUGUAUAGAUGAAGAAACAGCAGAGAAGGAGUCUGCUGAGCGCCAAAGUCAAAGCCUACAGCUAAGACAUUUGGAAGGCGUUUGAUUUUUGUUACUGUUUUUGUUUUGGUUUGUUUGUUGAGACAGGAUCUCACCGUGUAGCCAUGGCUAUCCUGGAACUCAUUAUAUAAACCAGGUUGGCCUCAAAGUCACAGAGAUCCACUUCUACUUCUGGAGUGCUGGGAAACCAUACAUUUUAUUUUAACAUUUGCAGAGGUCGGUUAAAGAUUUAGGCUAUGACCAAUGCGGUUUCAUCACGAAUUUAAGCUGUACAGUUAGGAACUUUCCUCUUGAGCCCAACUCAUUCUAAAGCAGAACUUGGAAAGAAUACAAAGAUGAGAAGUCUUAACUUGAAACAUCAAAGCAUAAGGCCAACAGACCAACCUUAAUCAUCAAUAAAAAUGGGUAUUAGAAGCAAAACUAUUCUUUCUCAAAAGAUAUACCUUAGCUAAAAAAAAUUAUGAACCUUUUGAUCAGUGCACUGUUAAGAAAUAAUUAUAAAACGAUGCACAGGAGACCUAGUCAACUAGAAAAAAAGAAAAAAAAAGAAACUACAGCCAAGAAGGAGACAACUAUGACAACAUGCUGAAGACACUGAGAACUGGUCUGGUCUGUUUGUCUGCUGUGGUAAACACCGUGACUAAAAUCAACUUGGAGAAGAAAGUAUUUGGCAUACACAUCUCAGGUCACAGUCUAUCACUGAGGGAAAUCAGAGUGGGAACUCAAUCCUGGAACCUGGAGACAGGAACUAAAGCAGAGACCAUGGUGGAAUGCUGCUUAUUAGCUUGCUUUCCAUGGCUUUUCCUGGCUUACUCGUGUAUAACCCAGCACCACCUGUCUAGAGAUAGCAAUGCCCACAGUGGUUGCUACCUCUGUUGCUACCCACAGUGAGAGCCCUUCCACCUCAAUCAUCAUUCAAGAAAAUACCCCACAACUGGGUGCAUGCCUUUAUUCCUAGUACUCAAGAAGUAGAGGCUAGUGAAUUCCAAGCCACCCUGGUCUUCAUAGGAAAUUCUGGGCCAGCCAGGGCUACUAGAUAGAGAGACUCUGUCUCAAAACAAAACAAAAAGCCCCCACAGCCUUGGGUACAAGCCAGUCUAAUGAAAAAAUUCUUAAUUGGUAUUACCCCUUCCUAGAUGACUCUAGCUUGUGUCACACUGACAAAAUAACCAACCAGCUAAGAACCAACAGAAAAAUUACCAAAUAAAACAGCUGUCUUAAAAGGUUUGUGUGCAGGGGGCUACUGAUGAGAUAGCUCAGCAGUUAAGAGCACUUAACUGCUCAUAGAGAGGACCUGUGUUUACUUCCUAGCACCCACAUGGGUGACUCAAAACCUCUUUGAACUCAGUUCAAGAUGAUCUGACACCUUCCAGCUCUGGCACAUAAACGGUGUAGAUACAUAUAUGUUUGGAGAAGGGCUGGACAAGGUGGCUAAUAGAGUAAAGGCUCUAUUAGUAAAGGCUCUAUUUGUCCCCAGCCAAACGACCUAAGUCUGAUCUCUGGCUCUGUAAUAUGCAUGGUAGGUGGAAAGAACAAACUCCUAAAAGUUGUCUGCUGACUUCUACACAUGUACCAUGCCAUACGUGUGCUCAUACAUACAAUAAUGUUAAAAAAAAGUUUGAAGAUUCACAGACCAAAAAAAAAAUAUGUGUUUUCCAAGUCCGUGUGGCUGGAGAGGUGGCUGAGAGCAUUUGCUGGUCUUCCAAGGGAGUUUCCACCCCAGUACCCACUUUGGACCACGUACACUCUCUUCUAACUCUAGCUCUGGGGGAUCUGAAUUCUCUUCCAGCUCCCCAGUCACCUGAACACACGUGGUACACUAGAGGAGGGUGUAAAAUUCCCUAGAGCUGGAGUUACAGAAGUUGUGGAGCCAAUGCAGCUACUGGACUCCAGUCCUCAGGAAUAAUAAAGUGCUCGUAAGGGCUGAGCCAUCUCUGCAGGUCAGCGGGACAAGUCGUGAAUGGUUACUAUUCUAGAAUGUUUCUGCCUCUUUGUUAACCACAGCAACUUCCUUAAACGUCAUCAAGCAUAAGGUUCUUUUUUUUUAAUUAGGUAUUUUCUUCAUUUACAUUUCCAAUGUUAUCCCAAAAGUCCCCCAUAACCUCCCCCACUUCCCUACCCACCUACUCCCACUUCUUGGCCCUGGCGUUCCCCUGUACUGAGACAUAUAAAGUUUUCAAGACCAAUGGGCCUCUCUUUUUCCACUAGGCCAUCUUCUGAUACAUAUGUAGCUAGAGACACGAGCUCCAGGGGGUACUGGUUAGUUCAUAUUGUUGUUCCACCUAUAGGGUUGCAGAUCCCCCACCUCCUUGGGUAUUUUCUCUAGCUCCUCCAUUUGGGGCCCUGUGAUCCAUCCAAUAGCUGACUGUGAGCAUCCACUUCUGUGUUUGCCAGGCCCCGGCAUAGCCUCACAAGAGAGAGCUAUAUCAGGGUCCUUUCAGCAAAAUCUUGCUAGUGUAUGCAAUGAUGUCAGCGUUUUGGAGGCUGAUUAUGGGAUGGAUCCCCGGGUAUGGUAGUCUCUAGAUGGUCCAUCCUUUCAUCUCAGCUCCAAACUUUGUCUCUGUAACUCCUUCCAUGGGUGUUUUGUUCCCAAUUUUAAGAAGGGGCAAAGUGUCUACACUUUGGUCUUCAUUCUUCUUGAGUUUCAUGUGUUUUGCAAAUUGUAUCUUGUAUCUUGGGAAGCGUGAGGUUCUUGAUGUUGUAUAGGAAACUGGAGCAAGUCUGGUAUUUUGAAGACUAUAGUAUUUACUAUUAAAGGCAUGAUGGCUAUUCUUGAUUAUCAACUUGCCUACAUCUGGAAUUAACAAAACCCUAAUGGCUUCUUCAGCCUGUGAUGGAAUUUUUCUUAAUUAAAUCAUUUAAUGUGAGAAUUUCCAAUUCUAAUUCAGACUUUGGAGGUGGGAAGAUCCACCUUUAACCCAGAUCUUUUGAGGUAGGAAGAUCCACCUUUAAUCUGGGCCAUACCUUCUGCUGGAAGCCUAUAGAAGGGCAUGGGAGAAAGAAGAGUUUGCCCAUUCUUCUCUUGCUUGCCUUCACUUUGCCAGCACAUCCAUUCCUUUGCUGGCAUUGGGACCUAGUUCUUCAGGAUUCCAGUGUGUCCUCAAGACGUCAGCUAAGACAUCCAGCUUCAUGGACUGAACAACUACUGAAUUCUUGAACCUUCUAUUGGUAGACAGCCAUUGUUGGACUAACUAGACCAUAACCUGUAAACCAAUCUAAUAAAUCUCCUUUAUAUAUAUAUUUAUGAGUGUAUAUAUAUAUAUAUAUAUAUAUGUUCUAUAAAUACUAUUUAUCUAGAGAACCCUGACUAAUCAAAAGGUUAUAAUAAUGUUAAUAUUAACUUUCAUAACUACUUGCCAAACCUUUAACUCAUAGAAAUCUCCAUAUGGCCAAUAAGAAAGCAAGGGCAUUAACGUUUCAGUGGAUAAGAUUAAGUAAUAGAACUUAGGGAACACCUAAGUCCAAUCAAGGAUGCCAGGGCAUAAACUGAGAUAAGCCUAACAGAAAACAAUAUUCUACUCAUUUAAAUGUACUAGCCAGAAAUGAGCUGCAGCAAGUACUCCAAGGAAGAGAGACUGCACUUCAUGGGAGGAUAUGGUUAUUAACUGUGCAGCUCAGGGGCUAAGCAUGCACCAGAUCCUGGGGUAGAAUAAUUGCUAGCAUGCACCAGACCCUGAAUUUGAUCCUGACACCAAUCAGCUGCUGAAGGUAGUUCAACAGAUCCACUUAUGUAUGAAUGUGGACUCUUAAGAUUACCAACUCUGAAGGACUGGAUAGAUGUCCCAGUGAUGAAUAGCAAUGGCUGCCUUUGUAGACCUGGGUUCAAUUUCCAGUACCCACAUGGUAGCUCGCAACUGUAACUCCAGUUCUAGAGGAUCUAAGGCCUCAUUUAGCCUCUGCUGGGCACCAGACAUACAGGCAAAACAUCAACACACAUAAAAUAAAUCGUUUUGUUUUGUUUUUAGAGAGUAACCACUACUUCUCACCAAACAGCUUUCUUGUGUUCCCAUUUGCCUCCCAGGUGCCUCACAUACCCACAAGGGCUAUUUCUCAAUCUAAUUAUGCCAGCUGCAUGCAAUUUUGAUAAUUUACAUGUCAACAUGAGUCUGGCUAUUAAAACCUGAUAAGUUCUGCCUUGUGUUUCCACAACACUAAGAGGCAGACCCUGAAUGGGAUUCGCUCUUGAAAAGGUAUGACUGCCUCCCUAACUCGACUCUUGAAUUUUCACCAUGUAAGUAGCAGGUAAUGAGUAGGGACAAUGACUGCAGGAAUCAAGGACUGGCCCUCUGCAAGUACAAUUUGUACCAACACUGUCUUGCUGUGCAUUUUCCCUCCUCCCUUAUAAACAAUAGAAAUUCUUUGAAAAAAUGAAUAAGAAAGUAUCUAACGAUAUAGGCUCCCAUUUUACUCCCCAAACCUGACAAUGUAUUCUUGAAGAUCUUUAUGUAUAAGAUUAUGAGGUAGAAUUGGCUAAGUUGCUGCAGCUAACUACUCAAAACAUAGUUCAAAUACCCAUGUUUGCUUACCAUCCGGGUAGACAGCAGACUUUUUUCUGUGCAGUGAUUCAGAGACCUAGUUCUUGACUUUGUCAUACCUAGGGUUUUGCUCUUGUAUGUCUAAGGAUAGGUCUCCCCAGGUUCAAGACAGCAGGAACAGGAAAAGGCACAGAGAAGGUCCUUUCCAACCUAUGAGACACACCACAAACUGCACUGCCUACAGCAGACAUUGCUCAGCAGAAAGGGCCCAGUUCUCCACAACAAUGCAUCACUACACAUGACAAAGGCAGUAGUGUCUCAAAGGUUGAACCAAUUGGGCAAUGUAGUCCUGCCUCAUCCACCAUGCUCAUUGAUCUCUUGCCAUCAGAUCUCUUCAAUCAUUCUGACAGCCUGUAACUUAACCAGCAGAAUACAAAAGGUGCCUCCCAGGACUUUGUCAAAUCCCAGAGCAGGAGUUCUUUUUACUGCAGAAGAAACAAACUUAUUUCACAAUGUCAAAAUGUGCUGAUUGUAAUGACUCCUAUUUUGAUUAGUAAACAUAUAUUUGAGCCAGGCAUAAUGGUGUAACUCUUGAGUGCCAGUUCUAGUUUGAAGCUCGCAUGGUCUAUGUAAGCUACAUAAGCAGACUCUACAUUUAAAAAGAAAUGUUUGGGCCUAAUAACAACUUAAAAUUCAUGGUCUGAAACUAUAAGCAAAUACAUUGGGGCAAGAGCCCCAGCCCUGUCACCAGAGAUCAUAGAGGAGUACUAUCAAAGGACAGUGAGUUUCUAAGCCCUUCCUGCAAAUUGUAUUUAAAUGGUUACAAGGAUUGACAUAGUAACAAGGAAGGGGGCAGGCCAAGGGGAUUGCAGGUCACAUGAGACAGCUUGCUAGUUCUUCUCUCCGCUCUUCCUAUUAUACUUUCUUUGAAACUGAUGUUGUAACCUAGAACUUCCCAAAACUUGUUUACCAUAUGUCUGCGUCAUUGUUUCAUGAACCAGUUUUGGAUAAGAAGACCCAAACAGAGUCACACAGUAAAUAAAUGAAAUCACUAAAGGAUAAAAAAUAAAUACACUUGCUGUUGGAGUUGUUGACUCGAGAUUUUUUUUUUUUUUAAAUCACAUGGGGACUGGAGAGAUGAGUAAGGGGUUAAAAACAGUUAUUGCUUUUGCAAAAGACUUAGCUAUAAUUCCCAGCACCCAAUCGCAUCUCAAAACAGUCUGUAACUUCAAUUCCAGAGGACCUAAUGCCUGGGACCUCCUCAAGCAUCGAGCACAUACACGGUACACAUCCAUGCAUGCAAGCGAAACAGCCAUAGAUAAAGGUAAACUUAAAUUGUUUUCUAGUUUAUUACAUGAAUUUUGGCUUAAAUUUAGGGCUCUGAAAUAGCCCCACACAGAAUUUUUCCACUUUGUAUUACAUAUUUAUGUGAAGCAGCAUUCUCAAAGUUGACUAUAGACUAAAAUCAAUAAAUAUCAAUCAACUCUGAAAAACAUUGACAAUAACUAUGUCUGGCAAAAUCAAAUAUUCAGCCAAGAUUUGUUUAUUUUUUUAAUACAGUCUUACAUUUGUACCCAGAUCUGCCUGGAACUCUCUAGGUCCCUUGAUGGCCUCAAACUUGUAAUGAUUCUCUGUUUUAGCCUCUUAAACCCUAUUUGUCAGUGUAAGCUAGCAUACUUGGUUCAGGAUUUAAUUCUGUAUGUAAAACUAAACACAUCCAUCUCAUAAGUAUAUGAAUUUGCUAUUGUCUUUAAUAAAUGUUAAAAUAGGGAUACUAA
Long non-coding RNA from Mus musculus (house mouse), 7562 nucleotides. RefSeq annotates it as predicted gene, 40462. The record is from RefSeq and is a predicted model, not a curated record. The transcript has 2 exons. Lineage: Eukaryota; Metazoa; Chordata; Mammalia; Rodentia; Muridae.